RNAcentral lists this ribosomal RNA (373 nucleotides) under uncultured bacterium. Its description in RNAcentral is "bacterial SSU rRNA". It matches the Rfam family "Bacterial small subunit ribosomal RNA", at positions 527 to 898 of the family's 1533-position model. The record is from RNAcentral.
GUAGGGGGCUAGCGUUGUCCGGAAUCAUUGGGCGUAAAGCGCGUGUAGGCGGUUCGGUAAGUCCGCUGUGAAAGUCGGGGGCUCAACCCUCGGAUGCCGGUGGAUACUGUCGGACUAGAGUACGGAAGAGGCGAGUGGAAUUCCUGGUGUAGCGGUGAAAUGCGCAGAUAUCAGGAGGAACACCGAUUGCGAAGGCAGCUCGCUGGGACGUUACUGACGCUGAGACGCGAAAGCGUGGGGAGCAAACAGGAUUAGAUACCCUGGUAGUCCACGCCGUAAACGAUGGGCACUAGGUGUGGGGGGUGUCGACUCCCUCCGUGCCGAAGCUAACGCAUUAAGUGCCCCGCCUGGGGAGUACGGCCGCAAGGCUAAA